GAUCGCGCUAUUCUUUCAAGAACAGUUUGCACCCACCGUACAAAGCGGGAGGGGGCUGGGUGGAGAAAUGUGACCCGCGGACAAAGGGGAAUGAACGGCGAGGAUCCAUGCAGCCCCAUCCCAUGCACACUUACUCGGAAAACCAGAAUGUUCCUCCUUUGGAGUGAUCAGAGAGAGGGCGUGGGAGGUGGAAACACUUCCUUCACUGAAGCUUUAUGGCACUUUGGGAUCUUUGAAGAUGCACCAUCCAUCCACUGUGAAAUCGAACAAAUUAGAGCCAACUAACAAGCAUGGAAAAUCAAGACUGUGAAGCUGACUAGAUUUGGUACCUGAUUAUAUCCAGUUGAGAAACUGGCUAAAGGUGGGCACUCUUGGGUAAAAUCAACGGGACUUGCUUCUUCAUGUUUGUCAGGAAGUAAGCUUAGCUGUGUCCCCUUUCCCUGUGCUACAGUCACUGUUUAAAAACAAACUAAAGCCAAAGCAAAACAAACAAGCAAAGUCAUCUUGUAAUU
This is a long non-coding RNA of Varanus komodoensis (Komodo dragon), 512 nucleotides long. RefSeq lists it as uncharacterized. NCBI's taxonomy places the organism in Eukaryota, Metazoa, Chordata, Lepidosauria, Squamata, Varanidae. The transcript has 3 exons. The record is from RefSeq and is a predicted model, not a curated record.